UACGUAGGGGGCAAGCGUUGUCCGGAAUUAUUGGGCGUAAAGGGCGCGCAGGCGGUCUUUUAAGUCUGAUGUGAAAUCUCGUAGCUUAACUACGAGCGGUCAUUGGAAACUGGAAGACUUGAGGACAGAAGAGGAGAGUGGAAUUCCACGUGUAGCGGUGAAAUGCGUAGAGAUGUGGAGGAACACCAGUGGCGAAGGCGACUCUCUGGUCUGUAACUGACGCUGAGGCGCGAAAGCGUGGGGAGCGAACAGG
RNAcentral lists this ribosomal RNA (253 nucleotides) under uncultured bacterium. RNAcentral's name for it is "partial 16S ribosomal RNA". It matches the Rfam family "Bacterial small subunit ribosomal RNA", at positions 524 to 776 of the family's 1533-position model. The record is from RNAcentral.